This is a non-coding RNA of Triticum aestivum (bread wheat), 135 nucleotides long. NCBI's taxonomy places the organism in Eukaryota, Viridiplantae, Streptophyta, Magnoliopsida, Poales, Poaceae. The record is from Rfam.
AACAUAUUCCCUCCGUCCGAAAAUACUUGUCAUCAAAAUGGAUAAAACAAGAUGUAUCUAGACGUAUUUUAGUUCUAGAUACAUCUCUUUUUGUCCAUUUUGAUGACAAUUAUUUCCGGACGGAGGGAGUACUUU